AGUGAACGCUGGCGGUAGGCCUAACACAUGCAAGUCGAACGGCAGCACAGUAAGAGCUUGCUCUUACGGGUGGCGAGUGGCGGACGGGUGAGGAAUACAUCGGAAUCUACUUUUUCGUGGGUGAUAACGUGGGGACACUUACGCUAAUACCGCAUACGACCUACGGGUGAAAGCAGGGGAUCUUCGGACCUUGCGCGAUUGAAUGAGCCGAUGUCGGAUUAGCUAGUUGGCGGGGUAAAGGCCCACCAAGGCGACGAUCCGUAGCUGGUCUGAGAGGAUGAUCAGCCACACUGGAACUGAGACACGGUCCAGACUCCUACGGGAGGCAGCAGUGGGGAAUAUUGGACAAUGGGCGCAAGCCUGAUCCAGCCAUACCGCGUGGGUGAAGAAGGCCUUCGGGUUGUAAAGCCCUUUUGGUGGGAAAGAAAAGCAGCAGGUUAAUACCCCGCUGUUCUGACGGUACCCAAAGAAUAAGCACCGGCUAACUUCGUG
Molecule: ribosomal RNA, 492 nt
Filed under: uncultured bacterium
Lineage: Bacteria
Description: partial 16S ribosomal RNA
Rfam family: Bacterial small subunit ribosomal RNA
Source: RNAcentral